RNAcentral lists this ribosomal RNA (249 nucleotides) under uncultured bacterium. Its description in RNAcentral is "partial 16S ribosomal RNA". The record is from RNAcentral.
CUGCUGCCUCCCGUAGGAGUCUGGUCCGUGUCUCAGUACCAGUGUGGGGGACCUUCCUCUCAGAACCCCUGCGCAUCGUCGUCUUGGUGGUCCGUUACACCGCCAACUAACUAAUGCGACGCAUGCCCAUCCGCCACCGGAAUUAACCUUUGGCACCAACAGGAUGUCCCGUCGAUGCAUUAUGCCGUAUUAGACGGAAUUUCUCCCGAUUAUCCGGCUGUGGCAGGCAGGUUGCAUACGUGUUACUCA